ACAACGGAGAGUUUGAUCCUGGCUCAGGAUGAACGCUGGCGGCGUGCUUAACACAUGCAAGUCGAACGAACCUUCGGGUUAGUGGCGGACGG
This 92-nucleotide ribosomal RNA is filed under the name Synechococcus sp. TMED66. RNAcentral's name for it is "partial 16S ribosomal RNA". It matches the Rfam family "Bacterial small subunit ribosomal RNA", at positions 1 to 105 of the family's 1533-position model. Lineage: Bacteria; Bacillati; Cyanobacteriota; Cyanophyceae; Synechococcales; Synechococcaceae. The record is from RNAcentral. RNAcentral also lists the same sequence under 1 other name.